RNAcentral lists this ribosomal RNA (997 nucleotides) under Aspiculuris tetraptera. RNAcentral describes it as "eukaryotic LSU rRNA". It matches the Rfam family "Eukaryotic large subunit ribosomal RNA", at positions 76 to 835 of the family's 3401-position model. Lineage: Eukaryota; Metazoa; Nematoda; Chromadorea; Rhabditida; Heteroxynematidae. The record is from RNAcentral.
UCCCUUAGUAACGGCGAGUGAACAGGGAAAAGCCCAUCGCUGAAUCCCAUAAUCAUUGAUUAUCGGGAACUGUAGCGUAUAGGUGUAACUAUUCGGUGAUUUUUGCUUACCCAAAGUUCCCUUGAGUGGGGCUAUAGUCCAUAGAGGGUGCUAGGCCUGUACGGGUAGCAAAAUUAUCGAUAUCGGUUGCUCCUUGGAGUCGAGUUGCCUGGGAACGCAGCUCAAAGUAUGUGGUAAACCUCAUCUAAGGCUAAAUAUGACUACGAGACCGAUAGCGAACAAGUACCGUGAGGGAAAGUUGCAAAGAACUUUGAAGAGAGAGUUCAAGAGGGCGUGAAACCGCUGAGAAGGAAGCGGAUAGAGUUGACGAAACACAGUGGCAUUCAUCCGAUCAGUGGUACAACCAAUAUAUCACUUGUACUGUCUUGUGCUUGAGAUAGCAAUGAUAUGUUUGGUUGGGCGAUUCACCACUUGGUUGGUGCUUUUGCCAUUGGUAUGCGCUAAGAGGUUCGCUAUGAUGCGUCAAAAUCAAUUUAAAGAGGACUAAACUUGACGUUUACGUUUAGAAACCUUUAAUGAUCGAGGCGUAUUCGUGGUGAAUCGCUGUUUCGCGGUUACAUCGUUGGCUAGUUUGUGCAGCCGGUUGUUAUGUGCGUGCUAUGGUUGCAUUGGUUGUUGGGCGGUCGCAUGCGACUUGUCUACAGCUGAGUGUAACCCAUUGACAGCUAGGUUGCAUUAACGAUGUAUCUUAGUGUAAAAGUCGACCACCUAUCCGACCCGUCUUGAAACACGGACCAAGGAGUUUAGCAUAUACGCAAGUCAUUAGGUGGUAAACCUCAAGGCGUAAUGAAAGUAAAGAUUGCUUUACGUGUGCAAUUGAUAUGGGAUCUAUAUAGUCCAACAAACUAUAUAGCGCACCAUAGCCCCGUCCUUCGAUUGCUUGCAAUAGGGCGGAGGUAGAGCGUAUAUGCUGAGACCCGAAAGAUGGUGAACUAUG